GGCAGGUGGCGAAGCGGCUAUCGGGCACUUCGAGUGCCCGAGGAACUUCCCCUCUCCCAUAAAAAGUGCCGCGGCGUAAGCCGCCUCCCGGAGACGGGAGAUACCGGGCACAGAAACGAGACCCCCUACCCUCAAAUGACGAUGAUGCAGAGAAGGGGCGGGGCAACCCGCUCCGAGCUAACCUGCUGAGGAGAGGGUAGGAAAGGAUGAAACGGCCCGUGGCACGGGAGCAAGCGUAAGCCACCGUCAAUGAGAUGAGACGGUGGCCUAGCGCUUAGUCAAAUG
RNAcentral lists this RNase P RNA (285 nucleotides) under Thermoprotei archaeon. RNAcentral's name for it is "partial RNase P RNA component". It matches the Rfam family "Archaeal RNase P", at positions 1 to 252 of the family's 288-position model. From Rfam's summary of the family: Ribonuclease P (RNase P) is a ubiquitous endoribonuclease, found in archaea, bacteria and eukarya as well as chloroplasts and mitochondria. Its best characterised activity is the generation of mature 5'-ends of tRNAs by cleaving the 5'-leader elements of precursor-tRNAs. Cellular RNase Ps are ribonucleoproteins. Lineage: Archaea; Thermoproteati; Thermoproteota; Thermoprotei. The record is from RNAcentral.